This 444-nucleotide ribosomal RNA is filed under the name uncultured bacterium. RNAcentral describes it as "bacterial SSU rRNA". It matches the Rfam family "Bacterial small subunit ribosomal RNA", at positions 29 to 506 of the family's 1533-position model. The record is from RNAcentral.
AUGAACGCUGGCGGCGUGUCUAAGGCAUGCAAGUCGAAUGGGUUUAGACCCAUGGCAAACGGGUGAGUAACACAUUGGUAACUUACCUCGAAGUUCAGCAUAACCCUCCGAAAGGAGGAAUAAUACUGGAUGUGUUCGUCCGCCUAAUGGCGGAUGAGUAAAGAUUUAUCGCUUCGAGAGAGACCUAUGUCUUAUCAGCUAGUUGGUAGUGUAACGGACUACCAAGGCUAUGACGAGUAGCGGGUGUGAGAGCACGACCCGCCUCACUGGGACUGAGACACUGCCCAGACUCCUACGGGAGGCUGCAGUCAAGAAUAUUCCACAAUGGACGAAAGUCUGAUGGAGCGACGCCGCGUGAUUGAUGAAGCCCUUCGGGGUGUAAAGAUCUUUUAUUAGGGAAGAACUUUUGACGGUACCUAAUGAAUAAGGGGUUGCUAACUCUGU